GAGGUUUCUUCCCCUGGAUGCUGAGAUUAAGGAGGCAGCUUUCACUGAUGCAUGGAGGCCUGUUUGGAAUAUUUCAUCAUCUUCCCAACUGAAACCUCAUGCUACCAUUUGGGUUCCACAAGGGGCUCUGUCUCUCGCUACUGCAGCAAUCUUUGCCCAUUUUGAUCAGGAAUAUCCUGUCCUGCUUCUGGGAUGUUCAAAAAUGAUUUUUGGAGCCUGUGGAAUAUCAUCAAGUUGUGAACUGACAAAGUGGAGAUGUCUUAAUGCAUCAUAUAGUUAAAUGGUGACAUGAUGACAGUUUGAGGUGGUUACCAGACCUCUGGAUGUAGUCCGCCAACACAGUUCCCAGCACUAGAGAUUGACAUGGAACACUGCUUCCACAUGCUGGCUGCACAACAAUCCCAUCAUCUGCUGGUGAGAGGAGGCUGAGAUGGAGCUCAGGAUCUGAACCCAAA
This is a long non-coding RNA of Mauremys reevesii (Reeves's turtle), 455 nucleotides long. RefSeq lists it as uncharacterized. NCBI's taxonomy places the organism in Eukaryota, Metazoa, Chordata, Testudines, Geoemydidae. The record is from RefSeq and is a predicted model, not a curated record. The transcript is spliced from 3 exons.